UAACACAUGCAAGUCGAACGGUAGCACAGAGAGCUUGCUCUCGGGUGACGAGUGGCGGACGGGUGAGUAAUGUCUGGGAAACUGCCUGAUGGAGGGGGAUAACUACUGGAAACGGUAGCUAAUACCGCAUAACGUCGCAAGACCAAAGAGGGGGACCUUCGGGCCUCUUGCCAUCAGAUGUGCCCAGAUGGGAUUAGCUAGUAGGUGGGGUAACGGCUCACCUAGGCGACGAUCCCUAGCUGGUCUGAGAGGAUGACCAGCCACCCUGGAACUGAGACACGGUCCAGACUCCUACGGGAGGCAGCAAUGGGGAAUAUUGCACAAUGGGCGCAAGCCUGAUUCAGCCAUGCCGCGUGUAUGAAGAAGGCCUUCGGGUUGUUAAGUACUUUCACCGGGGAGG
Molecule: ribosomal RNA, 400 nt
Filed under: uncultured Enterobacter sp.
Lineage: Bacteria; Pseudomonadati; Pseudomonadota; Gammaproteobacteria; Enterobacterales; Enterobacteriaceae
Description: bacterial SSU rRNA
Rfam family: Bacterial small subunit ribosomal RNA
Source: RNAcentral